GCCAUCCAUUCAACUCUCUCAGAAGCCUCUAUUACUGCUGCCAAAGAAGAGGAGCUCCUCUCUGCAAUUGUACAGGUGCUCUGAGAAGGAGAGGACAGUGGUGAAGAUGCAUACUCUAUCACACUGCUCUCAAGACCUCAUCCAAAGGAGCCAGUCUCCAGUAGCAGAGGAGACAUCCUGCUUGCCAGCGAGGGAGAAGGAUCUAAGCCCUGGCACAUUACCUUUCAUUCGGAUUCUGUUACUCCACAAUCAUAAGAUGACUGCCGCAACUUCAGACUUCAGGUUCCAAGAAGGAAGAGAAUAAAAGAGAAGUAAAGAGUCUUCUCUACAAGAGACUUUGUCUUUGUGUUCAGGAAUAGAAUCCUCCCCAGCAGAGUACCCUUUUACAGAUCUCUGACCAGAACUGGGUCACAUGUCUACCUUUAGAUCAAUCAACAUCCAGGGGUACCAUGAUUCAUCACCCCAGCAGGGGUCUGACCUAUAUGAGAGAAGAAAUCUAACCAGAUCACUGGGAAAAUUUGGGUUCUAUCAGUUAGCAAGAAGGAGGACAGAUAGAAGGAGACACUAGGUAGGCCAGGAUAAUAUCUGCCACAGUAGUUAUUUAAACAAAGGUGACUUUAUCCCUCCCAUGAUCUAAAACAAAUUAUACAUUUAUAAUUUUUUAAAAAUCUGGUUUGUUUAUGAGUCCUGAUAUUUUUUCAGGAAAAUAUGAUAUCUGAAUCUGAAAUAUACUAUAGGAUCUAGGAAAGUUACCCUUAAAAGAGCCAGUGUUUCAAGAAAUAACCUUAUUUAUUUGAAUCAGAUUUUUUUUAGCAUGGAUAACAAAAAAUGCAUUUCAAUUUAAUAUUAGAGGAGAUUAAUAGCAACUGAUGGACCACUUUCAAAGAACACUCAUAUUGGCUAAAAGCUUAAGUAAUAGAACUAUCUGGGAAGGUAAGAUUUGCACUGGACUUUUUCCCGGAGUGGCAUUAGUCAGGCACUGUAAAUGGAGGAGGGAAGACUUGGAGGCAUAGCUAAGUGUCAAGAACUGCCUCUUCUAAUGUGGGAAGAAUUUACUUAGAAAGUGUGGACAAUGUUUCAUUGCAGGUCUAUCCCAAGCUAAGAUGUGACUCCUAAUUUCAUUUCCAGUCUCAUAUCUCACGUUUCCCCACUCUACUGCCACUCACUCUGCACCACAGCUCCUUGUCUCCAAUAACACCCCCAACUAGUGUGGAUCUCCCUGUUGAAAACUGUCCAGGCACCUGGUACUUUCCCUUGAAACACACAUAACACCAUAAUUAAUUGAUCUGUUACUUUCAUGAUUUUGCUUUACUGUCUCUCCCUCCAUAAAAUAUAACCUCCUUGAGGUGCUGUGUCUUCAGCACCCACAAAUGCUUGGUAUAUGGUAGGCAAUCCAUAAGUAUUUAUGUUUUAAUAUGUAUAUUUAGAAUGCUCAGAUAAAGAAAUUUAUCCAAUAAUCCAAAUAUACUGACAGACUGGAAAGGAGGAAGUGAAUUUUCACUUUAUAACUUAAUUUCCCAGAGCAUUCCUUUAAACAUGGAGUUUUUUUUCAGAUGUUUAAAAUAUGAUUUAAUUUACUAGAAUUUGAUUCACAUUACUUUUCAGGAACACAUACACACACCUAGGGCAAAACCAUCUGCUACACACAUACGAUAUAAAUUCCCCAUUUUCAGGCAUGAUUCAAUGCAGAUUAUUAAAAAAAAGGAAAAAGGCAGAGGGGAGGAGAAACAAGCCAUUUCUAGGAUACCAUCCCAAAGAUCAACAAAGAAAGAUCGGGUAUCUUUUAGGGAAAUUAGUUCUUACUGUGGGUGGAUGGUAGUGUGGCCCUAAAGCAAUCAUCUCCUACCCUUUCUCCUAAGAGCAGGUUUGGUUUGAAUCAGUGAUGGAGCAUGAGUUUGGUCUAUGGAGGACUGGAAUGGUUGUUCCUCUUUGAAACAAGCCAGGUGGGUUGCUGGCCAAGUGCAUAAGCAUUAGUGCUCCGUUGGGAGAGGAAAGGGGAGGUUGUGGAAUAUCAAGAUCUGGGUAAAGUGAUAAUGCAGCUAACAGUUCUUGAGAGUUCACCGUGUACCACAUACUGUGCUGUGCACUUGACCUAGAACAUCUCUUUGAACUCCUACUGCCACGCACUCCCUGUGGCGGACUGAAUCAUGUCCCCUACCAAAAGACAUAUUCAUGUCCUAACCCCGGCCCUGUGGCUGUGGACUCAUUUGCAAAUGGGAUCUUUGAAAAAGGCUAAACUGAAGCAGGGUGAGCCUUGGUUCUAUCUGACUGGAGUCCUUAUAAGCAAAGAACAUUCAGACUCGGCAGUAGGAGUGAGGAAGAAGCAGCAGGAGAUAGAUUGCCAAGCAGUGGAGGAUCACCGCAAACCACCUCUGGGACACUACAGACUUUGAAGAAACCAUGGCCUGCUGACACCUUGAUUUUGAAAUUCCAGCCUCAAAAC
Long non-coding RNA from Choloepus didactylus (southern two-toed sloth), 2443 nucleotides. RefSeq lists it as uncharacterized. The transcript has 3 exons. The record is from RefSeq and is a predicted model, not a curated record. Lineage: Eukaryota; Metazoa; Chordata; Mammalia; Pilosa; Megalonychidae.